UGAUCCGUCCACUGCUGUAAG
This 21-nucleotide non-coding RNA is filed under the name Arabidopsis thaliana (thale cress). Lineage: Eukaryota; Viridiplantae; Streptophyta; Magnoliopsida; Brassicales; Brassicaceae. The record is from RNAcentral.